Molecule: non-coding RNA, 515 nt
Organism: Pelobates cultripes (western spadefoot toad)
Lineage: Eukaryota; Metazoa; Chordata; Amphibia; Anura; Pelobatidae
Source: the annotation of a GenBank genome assembly
AAAAGAUAUAGCCCUGCCUCCAGCAAGGUUAGCGGUCACGCAGAUGUGCAAACGCACGUUUUAGAGUCAGGUGAUCCCUGUCCAUCAAUGAAUGAUGGGGAAGGGCUAUAAAAGCCAAUUUCUUUAUUUCUUCUUUGCCCUGUCGUGGUUUCCACUUCUUUGGUUAUCUGAGAGCGCGUUUAUUAUUCCUGGUUUUUGAUCUUGGCUUACUCUGACUAUCCGUAUUUCUGGUAUCCCUGACCCUUUGACUUUGUCUUCUCGUUUAUGCUCCUGUCAGUGUCCCUGACUUCGGCUUGAUUCUGACUAUUCUUUCUACGUUAAAUCCGACCAUUCUAGGGCACGGUAAUACGUUUUUCCAGUUGUCUUGAUUCUGCGUGUUGGGCCACAGCCCACACCUGACAAAAGGGCUGGACAGAACCAUACCUGCCUUUCGGUGCAACCGCAGCGGAUGUCAAGGAUACCAAACAGAUGUGGGACAUUUAGAUUUGUUUGGCUUUGUUCAGGCCAAACCCUCC